This 87-nucleotide transfer RNA is filed under the name Bacteroidota bacterium. RNAcentral describes it as "Bacteroidetes bacterium (marine metagenome) tRNA-Leu". It matches the Rfam family "tRNA". From Rfam's summary of the family: Transfer RNA (tRNA) molecules are approximately 80 nucleotides in length. The record is from RNAcentral. Lineage: Bacteria; Pseudomonadati; Bacteroidota. RNAcentral also lists the same sequence under 1 other name.
GCCGGGGUGGUGAAACUGGUAGACGCGCUGGACUCAAAAUCCAGUGAGCUUCGGCUCGUGUGGGUUCGAGUCCCACCCCCGGCACCA